UAAAUACAUGGGAAUGAAGUUCUCCCACGAAAUGAAACCGCUAUAAGCUGAUGACUUCUGUUUUUAC
This is a non-coding RNA of Anaerosphaera sp. HMSC064C01, 67 nucleotides long. The record is from Rfam. NCBI's taxonomy places the organism in Bacteria, Bacillati, Bacillota, Tissierellia, Tissierellales, Peptoniphilaceae.